Molecule: ribosomal RNA, 238 nt
Filed under: uncultured bacterium
Lineage: Bacteria
Description: partial 16S ribosomal RNA
Rfam family: Bacterial small subunit ribosomal RNA
Source: RNAcentral
UGAGUAACCUGCCCUUAACUCUGGGAUAAGCCUGGGAAACUGGGUCUAAUACCGGAUAUGACUCCUCAUCGCAUGGGUGGGGGGUGGAAAGCUUUAUUGUGGUUUUGGAUGGACUCGCGGCCUAUCAGCUUGUUGGUGAGGUAAUGGCUCACCAAGGCGACGACGGGUAGCCGGCUGAGAGGGUGACCGGCCACACGUGGGACUGAGACCACGGCCCAGACCUCCGUACGGGGAGCAG